AGAUUAAAUGAGUAUAGAUAGAAAUUGAUUAUUAGGGCAUGCACAAUAACAGUCAGUACCUAUGUAUUAGUAAGUGUCUACCUGUCGUGUCUAUCGUGCGUAUUUUUGUAGGUUUUUAAAAAUGUCUCAAAAACGAAAAUUAAAUCAUUUUACUAUAGCUGACAAAGUUCAUGUGAUACAAUUGAUGGAGAAAGAUAACAGGAAACAACAAGACGUCGCGAAAGAAUUUAAUAUUCCAACAAAUACGGUGUCAACAUUUUUAAAAAAUAAGGCGGAUAUUUAAAAAAAAGAUGAAGAUAAUAAAGGUGACAAUAAUAGGUCAAAAGCAGCCGAAUAUCCAAAUGUAGAGCAAAAAAUGACAACGAAGGUGGUGGUCUAAUCGACUGGAAUAUUCAGAGAUAGCUACAGCUAGAGUGACAGCGACGACAGUCAAAUGUCUUAUGAUUCCAAUGAAACGUCGGGUUCAUUAUAGAAUGUGAAUGGGCCGAAGAGGUGGCGGAUCGAGGUUGAUAAUUGUAGUGCGGAACAACCAAAUAGUAACACAGGAAGAAUGACGGUCCGUCAUACGGUCCAGAAAUGUGGCAGGGAGGGCCCACCUAUUCCAUGGAUUGAGAUUUUUUUAACACAUACUGCCGUAAUGCAUAUUAUUCGAACAAAAAAUGACAACAAAAGUCGAUCUGAAAUCGACAGCGUAUAGACUCACCCACGAAACAUAUUUACAAUCACCUUGAAAUGUGUUUAUUUUGAAAAUAGGGGUCGGUAUAUGGUCGUUUUUUGAACUUUUUAGACAAUCGCAUAAAAGAUUUCCCCCACCUCCACAGCUACCGAUGACGGCGUGUUUGGGACGGCUUGGCAAGAGCGCUACCAGCCAGUACUGUUACAAUUGCAGAAUUGUAUAAACGUUCACUACUUGUGUACUACUACACAGUUGAAUACUCACGAAAUGUCUGGAACAUUCGAAGAAAGCCACAGCGAGAGCGACAGCAACGACGGUCAAGUCUUUUAUGACUUAGAUGCAUCGUCGACGGGCCCAUUACAAUGCGAUUUUUCGCUGGACCUAGUGCCAGCACUCCCCAGGUCGAGAAACAUGGCCCGAAGAGGCGGCGGAAAGAGGUAAUUACAAAGCUCGCAGAGCAUAAUAAUUAGAAAAUAUUGUGUCUGAACCGCAGUUUAGUGGACAUUUUUUUUCGCAUUUUUCUUGUUGGCUCAGAUUUUGACUGUUAUAGGGUAGCUGCAGUUAGGAUGGUUGUGGUGUGAGACAACCCAACACUGUGUGCACAACUAUUGCGGCAGGAAAUACGGCCAGUCAUUCUAUCUAGAAACGUGGCACGGAGGGGCCGGCCAUUCCACUUAUCGAGGUAAUUAUUACGUUACUUGG
This is a long non-coding RNA of Myzus persicae (green peach aphid), 1378 nucleotides long. RefSeq lists it as uncharacterized. NCBI's taxonomy places the organism in Eukaryota, Metazoa, Arthropoda, Insecta, Hemiptera, Aphididae. The record is from RefSeq and is a predicted model, not a curated record. The transcript has 4 exons.